This 446-nucleotide ribosomal RNA is filed under the name uncultured bacterium. RNAcentral describes it as "partial 16S ribosomal RNA". It matches the Rfam family "Bacterial small subunit ribosomal RNA", at positions 43 to 523 of the family's 1533-position model. The record is from RNAcentral.
CAGGCCUAACACAUGCAAGUCGAACGAGCUGAGACCUUCGGGUCUCGAUGCUAGUGGCGCACGGGCGAGUAACGCGUGGGAACGUACCCUUUAGUAUGGAAUAACCAAGGGAAACUUUGGCUAAUACCGUAUACGCCCUUCGGGGGAAAGAUUUAUCGCUAAAGGAUCGGCCCGCGUCUGAUUAGGUAGUUGGUGAGGUAACGGCUCACCAAGCCGACGAUCAGUAGCUGGUCUGAGAGGAUGAUCAGCCACACUGGGACUGAGACACGGCCCAGACUCCUACGGGAGGCAGCAGUGGGGAAUAUUGGACAACGGGCGAAAGCCUGAUCCAGCCAUGCCGCGUGAGUGAAGAAGGCCUUCGGGUUGUAAAGCUCUUUCGACGGGGACGAUGAUGACGGUACCCGUAUAAGAAGCCCCGGCAAACUUCGUGCCAGCCGCCGCCGUAA